RNAcentral lists this ribosomal RNA (447 nucleotides) under uncultured bacterium. RNAcentral describes it as "bacterial SSU rRNA". It matches the Rfam family "Bacterial small subunit ribosomal RNA", at positions 30 to 476 of the family's 1533-position model. The record is from RNAcentral.
AUUGAACGCUGGCGGCAUGCUUUACACAUGCAAGUCGAACGGCAGCACGAGUGCUUGCACUUGGUGGCGAGUGGCGGACGGGUGAGUAAUACAUCGGAACGUAUCCUUAAGUGGGGGAUAACGCAUCGAAAGAUGUGCUAAUACCGCAUAUUCUCUGUGGAGGAAAGUAGGGGAUCGAAAGACCUUAUGCUUAUGGAGCGGCCGAUGCCUGAUUAGCUUGUUGGUGGGGUAAUGGCCUACCAAGGCGACGAUCAGUAGUUGGUCUGAGAGGACGACCAGCCACACUGGGACUGAGACACGGCCCAGACUCCUACGGGAGGCAGCAGUGGGGAAUUUUGGACAAUGGGCGAAAGCCUGAUCCAGCAAUGCCGCGUGAGUGAAGAAGGCCUCGGUUGUUAAGACGUCUUUAGUUUAAGUAAGUAAAGGUAAGUAGUACGUAAUAAUACU